UACGGAGGGAGCUAGCGUUGUUCGGAAUUACUGGGCGUAAAGCGCACGUAGGCGGCUUUGUAAGUUAGAGGUGAAAGCCUGGGGCUCAACCCCAGAAUUGCCUUUAAGACUGCAUCGCUUGAAUCCAGGAGAGGUGAGUGGAAUUCCGAGUGUAGAGGUGAAAUUCGUAGAUAUUCGGAAGAACACCAGUGGCGAAGGCGACUCACUGGACACAUAUUGACGCUGAGGAGCGAAAGUGUGGGGAGCGAACAGG
Molecule: ribosomal RNA, 253 nt
Filed under: uncultured bacterium
Lineage: Bacteria
Description: partial 16S ribosomal RNA
Rfam family: Bacterial small subunit ribosomal RNA
Source: RNAcentral